AACCGGAACGCUACGUCUCGCC
RNAcentral lists this non-coding RNA (22 nucleotides) under Arabidopsis thaliana (thale cress). The record is from RNAcentral. Lineage: Eukaryota; Viridiplantae; Streptophyta; Magnoliopsida; Brassicales; Brassicaceae.